RNAcentral lists this ribosomal RNA (406 nucleotides) under uncultured bacterium. Its description in RNAcentral is "partial 16S ribosomal RNA". It matches the Rfam family "Bacterial small subunit ribosomal RNA", at positions 28 to 526 of the family's 1533-position model. The record is from RNAcentral.
GAUGAACGCUAGCUACAGGCUUAACACAUGCAAGUCGAGGGACCGGCGCACGGGUGAGUAACACGUAUCCAACCUGCCCUUUACUCGGGGAUAGCCUUUCGAAAGAAAGAUUCAUACCCGAUAUAAAGGCUGGGGAUGCGUUCCUUUAGGGUGUUGGUGAGGUAACGGCUCACCAAGCCUUCGAUGGAUAGGGGUUCUGAGAGGAAGGUCCACCAAAUUGGAACUGAGACACGGUCGAAACGCCGACGGGAGGCAGCAGUGAGGAAUAUUGGUCAAUGGGGGCUAGCCUGAACCAGCCAAGUAGCGUGAAGGAGGAAGGCUUAUGGGUGGUAAACCUCUUUUAUAUAAGAAUAGGUAGUAUAUGAAUAAGGAUCGGCUAACUCCGUGCCAGCAGCCGCGGUAAUAC